Molecule: ribosomal RNA, 260 nt
Filed under: uncultured bacterium
Lineage: Bacteria
Description: partial 16S ribosomal RNA
Rfam family: Bacterial small subunit ribosomal RNA
Source: RNAcentral
CGUAGGUGGCAAGCGUUGUCCGGAUUUAUUGGGCGGUAAAGACGAGCGCAGGCGGAAGAAUAAAGUCUGAUGUGAAAGACCCUCGGCUUAACCGAGGAACUGCAUCGGAAACUGUUUUUCUUUGAGUGCAGAAGAGGAGAGUGGAACUCCAUGUGUAGCGGUGGGAAUGCGUAGAUAUAUGGAAGAACACCAGUGGCGAAGGCGGCUCUCUGGUCUGCAACUGACGCUGAGGCUCGAAAGCAUGGGUAGCGAACAGGAUU